CGGGGAGGUAGUGACGAAAAAUAACGAUACGGGACUCAUCCGAGGCCCCGUAAUCGGAAUGAGUACACUUUAAAUCCUUUAACGAGGACCAAUUGGAGGGCAAGUCUGGUGCCAGCAGCCGCGGUAAUUCCAGCUCCAAUAGCGUAUAUUAAAGUUGUUGCGGUUAAAAAGCUCGUAGUUGAAUCUGUGUGUCACAGUGUCGGUUCACCGCUCGCGGUGUUUAACUGGCAUUAUGUGGUACGUCCUACCGGUGGGCUUAGCUCCUCGCGGGCGGUCCAACUAAUAUCCCAUCGCGGUGCUCUUCACUGAGUGUCGAGGUGGGCCGGUACGUUUACUUUGAACAAAUUAGAGUGCUCAAAGCAGGCUACCUUUGCCUGAAUAUUCUGUGCAUGGAAUAAUGGAAUAGGACCUCGGUUCUAUUUUGUUGGUUUUCGGAACCCCGAGGUAAUGAUUAAUAGGGACAGAUGGGGGCAUUCGUAUUGCGACGUUAGAGGUGAAAUUCUUGGAUCGUCGCAAGACGGACAGAAGCGAAAGCAUUUGCCAAAAAUGUUUUCAUUAAUCAAGAACGAAAGUUAGAGGUUCGAAGGCGAUCAGAUACCGCCCUAGUUCUAACCAUAAACGAUGCCAGCUAGCGAUCCGCCGAAGUUCCUCCGAUGACUCGGCGGGCAGCUUCCGGGAAACCAAAGCUUUUGGGUUCCGGGGGAAGUAUGGUUGCAAAGCUGAAACUUAAAGGAAUUGACGGAAGGGCACCACCAGGAGUGGAGCCUGCGGCUUAAUUUGACUC
RNAcentral lists this ribosomal RNA (784 nucleotides) under Isepeolus atripilis. RNAcentral's name for it is "SSU rRNA". It matches the Rfam family "Eukaryotic small subunit ribosomal RNA", at positions 457 to 1201 of the family's 1831-position model. The record is from RNAcentral. RNAcentral also lists the same sequence under 3 other names. Lineage: Eukaryota; Metazoa; Arthropoda; Insecta; Hymenoptera; Apidae.